GAUGAACGCUGGCGGCGUGCCUAAUACAUGCAAGUCGAGCGAACAGACGAGGAGCUUGCUCCUCUGACGUUAGCGGCGGACGGGUGAGUAACACGUGGAUAACCUACCUAUAAGACUGGGAUAACUUCGGGAAACCGGCGCUAAUACCGUAUAAUAUCUUGAACCGCAUGGUUCAAUAGUGAAAGACGGCUUUGCUGUCACUUAUAGAUGGAUCCGCGCCGCAUUAGCUAGUUGGUAAGGUAACGGCUUACCAAGGCAACGAUGCGUAGACGACCUGAGAGGGUGAUAGGCCACACUGGAACUGAGACGCGGUCCAGACGCCUACGGGAGGCAGCAGUAGGGAAUCUUACGCAAUGGGCGGAAGCCUGACGGAGCAACGCCGCGUGAGUGGUGAAGGUCUUCGGAUCGUAAAACUCUGUUAUUAGGGAAGAACAAAUGUGUAAGUAACUAUGCACGUCUUGACGGUACCUAAUCAGAAAGCCACGGCUAACUACGUG
RNAcentral lists this ribosomal RNA (497 nucleotides) under uncultured bacterium. RNAcentral's name for it is "partial 16S ribosomal RNA". It matches the Rfam family "Bacterial small subunit ribosomal RNA", at positions 28 to 507 of the family's 1533-position model. The record is from RNAcentral.